Molecule: long non-coding RNA, 452 nt
Organism: Hibiscus syriacus
Lineage: Eukaryota; Viridiplantae; Streptophyta; Magnoliopsida; Malvales; Malvaceae
Exons: 4
Source: RefSeq, a predicted model, not a curated record
AUAAAUAUGAAGGCUUGGUGUUGAAAGAGAUUUGACAACCUUAAUAAAUGUAUCCUUUUAUAUGACUAGAUAUUCGGUAAAAUUCAAUCGUGUAGGCACACCAUCUGACCUGCUGCAGAACCAAAAGCUAACAUGUCUCUGCUCCAUACUGAGCGUUAUUGAUCAAAAGUCUCGUCAAACAUCAUUUCCUGUAACAUUAAAAAGGGCAGAACAUGUCACUACUUAGUGGCCAGGUGAUGCAAAGUACAAGAUUUGGCACAGGGAAUAAAAGACAAGCAGAUUCAUAGGUGUAAUAGAAUAUACAGGGGCUUCAAGUAAAGCCCAAGUUCUUGCACAAUCUGCGUGACAGUUUGGGUCCAUAAUAUUAUUGGGUACAUUAAUUGGAUCCAAAAAGUCCAAGUCCAAAUCUUGUCCUAAUUAAAUCAAUGUAACCUGGGUGAAACUAUGCAGUA